UACGGGGGGGGCAAGCGUUGUUCGGAAUUACUGGGCGUAAAGGGCUCGUAGGCGGCCAACUAAGUCGGAUGUGAAAUCCCCAAGCUUAACUUGGGAACUGCAUCUGAUACUGGAUGGCUUGAGAUUGGGAGAGGGAUGCGGAAUUCCAGGUGUAGCGGUGAAAUGCGUAGAUAUCGGGAAGAACACCCGUGGCGAAGGCGGCUCUCUGGGACGGUACUGACGCUGAGACGCGAAAGCGUGGGGAGCGAACAGG
This 253-nucleotide ribosomal RNA is filed under the name uncultured bacterium. RNAcentral describes it as "partial 16S ribosomal RNA". It matches the Rfam family "Bacterial small subunit ribosomal RNA", at positions 524 to 776 of the family's 1533-position model. The record is from RNAcentral.